UUGUUUAAAUAAAAGUUAAUUUUGUUGAUUUUGAUCUAAUAUAUCUUCCAAAAAUAACAUAAAGUUAAAGAAAUGUAUAAUAGGAGUCUUUAAAAAAAAUAGGCUAAAUGGAACUCCCAAUUACUUACAUUUCAAAAUAAAAGCCUUUUUUAGAAUUGAUUUAUGCCUUUCAUGUGACGUGCUGUUAUUCAGAUUUGGAAAAUUGGAAUUCCAAAAUCGAACUAUUAAAAAUAUUGGUGGAAACUCUUUAGUAAAAACUUCUACAGGUUGUAAUUUAAGAUAAAACUAUCAGGUAAGAACGUUGAAAGGUCACCAAUACUUUUUAAACUAAAAUAAUGGCUUAAAGACACCUAAAGCUUAUAUUGUGUUCGACUCAAUAAUAGUCCAAGUUUAAGUUUAAAAAUGGGUCAAUUUUGACUAGAAUUUAAGCUAAAUGAAAAAAAAGUACAAUCUAUUUAAAAGUUUUUUGGGAAAUAAAAUGACUUUUUUUCAAUGUUUGUAUCCUGUGUUUUUUAUGGUCUUAUGACACCUAUUUUUGUACUGUUUUACCUAUUCCUUUAACUUCUUAGUUGUUUUUGAGUUUUUUACCGUACCUCAUUUUGUUUGACUGCAAUCAUUUUAAGGUGCAAUCAAAUCAAAUCAAAAUAAAACAAAACAAUUCGAAUUGUUUCGAAUAAAUCAAUCAAAUCAAAACAAAGCAAAUCAAAUGGUUUCGAAUCAAUCAAUCAAAUCAAAACAAAACAAAACAAGUCAAAACAAAUCGAAUUGAUUCAAAUAAAUCAAUCAAAUCAAACUGUAUUUUUCGAGCACUUUUUUUGACAAAAGUAGCUCAAAGAGCUUAACAUCAAAAAUUUAAUAACGAAAAAGCAAAACAAAACAAACAAGAACAAAAUGAAAUAACAGAUACAAUGCCCCUCCCCCAAUCUUAUACAACACAUUAAAGCACAAAAUGAGACAAAACUUAAUGCUGAAUCGCAAUAGAAAAGUUGACCAAGUGUCGAAACAACAUUUUGGGGAAUCUGUCCACACCAGUGACCCCCAGUGACCCCCUCGUUCACGCCCCCCCCAACCUCAGAGACCCUAACUGAGAGGAUUCAAUCACUUCUUAAUAUUUCAAUAUGAAUUGUUGCAAAAACUUUUCUUCUUCAGAAGUUGAUGUUGAGCCUCGUGGAGUUUGUCUACAUUUAGUAGGGAGGGCUCCAAAUCCAUGGGGACCCCCCCUUUUUCCCCUAUUCAUUAAUAUAUAGUAAGGAUUUAGUGUAAAAUGUUCCUAAAGCGCACAUAUAGUGCAGUCAAAGCUGCAUCCUCUUUCUGUUUUUUCCCCCCUUCUCUAUUUUCUUACUAUACAAAAAAAAAGGGAAAUGUCCUCAAGUUUCCCGCUGGGGGAGUUCAUUUAUUUUGUAUGCAAAGGGAGGAAGAAAAAAAAAAAAAAAAAAAGACAGAAAGAAAAGGGGGGAGAGGGAAAAAAAAUCAUCCCCAAGUAUAACAAGAGACGAACAGUUAGUGCUGAUUUUCAUUUGCAUAAAUUUUCAUACAUUUUAGUGAAAAUAAUAGCGGCAGCCGAGGAGAGCUCCUGCUCAGUUAGAGGAAAGAAAAUCUCAGGGAGCGGAGAGUCGCGGGGAAAAAAAGGGAUAACGCAGACGGAGUGAAGGAAGGAAGGGAAGAUUUUCCUGCUUUUCUUGGACACGAGGUGAGUCGACGCUUCAUCCCAGGAUCUCUUUUUCCCUCCAUUCUUUUUGCUACAUUUUGACACUUUUGCGCGUCAUUCCUUCAUUUUGACACUAAUAUGAUCCCAUACUUGGAGCUGCUGUUUUGAUUUAAUAGGGAAUUUAAAAAGAAACAAACACUUUUGUUUCCGGAGGUUCCGCGAACGCAUCGUCGCUUUCUGGGAGGAAUUGAUCGGGUGAAGUUCGGGACGGCUUUCUCCCUCUCCCCGGCCGCUGCGUGUCUAAGCCCCCGCACUCCGUAUCCAUGGAGAGCCACAGCCCCUGGUGAACACCCUCCUCUCUCUCACACACACACACACACACAUACACUCUUAACUUUGCCGCUUCUGUGACACCCCCCCUCCCUCCCAGUCCUCCCUCCGUCUUCCCCAAUGGAUGCCGAGUCUCUGGAGGUAAGGGCCUUGCCUUUGCAUGCGUGCGUGCAGGCAAAAGCGGACACGCCGUCUCCCCAGCUUCCGUUUUCCUCGGUGCGCCUGCUGCUGCUGGAGUAUUCACGCUCCGGGCUGUUUUCUUUGAGAGAGAGAGAGGAAGACGGAGUAUAAAAAUAUGCAAAUGCUAUUGUUGAAGAGAGGAGCGAGCAAGAAGUGGGAGGGUGGCGGCGGCGGUGGUUGCUCCUCACCUCCCCCCCCUUCUGCCACCGACACUGCCUCCACCUUCAUCUAUCCGUCCGUCCAUUCAUCCGUCCAUCCAGUGCAAACAGAAAUGGAGAGGGAGGGCGAAAUAUUACAAUAAACCCCAAAGGCCAGCUGUUAGAAAAGGAUGAAGACAAACCCUACGAAGCCCCACUGAGCCGGGAAUUAUUCAUACAUACACAUGUCACUGAGCAGAACCCGUACAGCUCGGGCGGUAACGACCAAACGGGGGAAACGGAAAGAUGGCCGUAAACUGGCGUAAUUGUGAGGCCGCGCACGCCCACACAGGUGCUUCUGCUCAAGGUGGAAUUACGCCGAUGCGCUUCAUUAUGUCAGCUUCUACAGCAAACCCCUGCUCGCACUCCGAGGAAGGUCGUCUGCCCACAACAUCCCCGCGCGGCCUCGUCCAAGUGUUGCUUUGCUAAUGAUGUUAACAGCACAAAACGGGACCGCGACAGUCUCCCAGUUUGGAUAAUCAUAAUGGAAUAAGAAGCGAUACGUUUAGGAAGGAUCUGUUUUCAAAGCCCUAAUUUUUUAAAGCCACUUAACAUUGACCUAUGAGUCAUCUGAGCAUUAAAAAAAAACCCAAACUCAAGGGAUGAGCCAGAACUGCGUCUGCACAAACCAUUUUAAAUUGUAUCUGUAGGCACUUUGUUACCAGCAGCAGACACAUAAUUUGUUUCUAUUUCUUUAGCUACAUCUGUAAAAAAAAAAAAAA
This is a long non-coding RNA of Oryzias melastigma (Indian medaka), 3077 nucleotides long. RefSeq lists it as uncharacterized. NCBI's taxonomy places the organism in Eukaryota, Metazoa, Chordata, Actinopteri, Beloniformes, Adrianichthyidae. The transcript has 2 exons. The record is from RefSeq and is a predicted model, not a curated record.